GGGUGCUUAGCUCAGCGGGUAGAGCACCGCCCUUACAAGGCGGAAGUCGGGGGUUCAAGUCCCUCAGCACCCA
Molecule: transfer RNA, 73 nt
Filed under: Gammaproteobacteria bacterium
Lineage: Bacteria; Pseudomonadati; Pseudomonadota; Gammaproteobacteria
Description: tRNA-Val
Rfam family: tRNA
About the family: Transfer RNA (tRNA) molecules are approximately 80 nucleotides in length. Their secondary structure includes four short double-helical elements and three loops (D, anti-codon, and T loops).
Source: RNAcentral